RNAcentral lists this ribosomal RNA (497 nucleotides) under uncultured bacterium. RNAcentral describes it as "partial 16S ribosomal RNA". It matches the Rfam family "Bacterial small subunit ribosomal RNA", at positions 28 to 507 of the family's 1533-position model. The record is from RNAcentral.
GAUGAACGCUGGCGGCGUGCCUAAUACAUGCAAGUCGAGCGAACAGACGAGGAGCUUGCUCCUCUGACGUUAGCGGCGGACGGGUGAGUAACACGUGGAUAACCUACCUAUAAGACUGGGAUAACUUCGGGAAACCGGAGCUAAUACCGGAUAAUAUAUUGAACCGCAUGGUUCAAUAGUGAAAGACGGUUUUGCUGUCACUUAUAGAUGGAUCCGCGCCGCAUUAGCUAGUUGGUAAGGUAACGGCUUACCAAGGCGACGAUGCGUAGCCGACCUGAGAGGGUGACCGGCCACACUGGAACUGGGACCCGGCCCAGACUCCUACGGGGGGCACAAGUGGGGAUUCUUCCGAAAGGGGCGAAAGCCUGACGGAGCAACGCGGCGUGAGUGAUGAAGGUCUUCGGAUCGUAAAACUCUUUUAUUAGGGAAAAAAAAAUGUUUAAGUAAUUAGGCACGUCUUGACGGUCCCUAAUCAGAAAGCCACGGCUAACUACGGG